ACUGAUGAUGAUUUAUCAUUUUGGAAUCUCGUUCGUCUGAAAUCCUGUUGAUAAAUCUUUAUUACUGAAGUUA
This is a small nucleolar RNA of Carassius carassius (crucian carp), 73 nucleotides long. RefSeq annotates it as small nucleolar RNA SNORD30. The transcript has a single exon. Lineage: Eukaryota; Metazoa; Chordata; Actinopteri; Cypriniformes; Cyprinidae. The record is from RefSeq and is a predicted model, not a curated record.